AGAGUUUGAUCAUGGCUCAGAUUGAACGCUGGCGGCAGGCCUAACACAUGCAAGUCGGACGGUAGCACAGAGGAGCUUGCUCCUUGGGUGACGAGUGGCGGACGGGUGAGUAAUGUCUGGGAAACUGCCUGAUGGAGGGGGAUAACUACUGGAAACGGUAGCUAAUACCGCAUAACCUCGCAAGAGCAAAGUGGGGGACCUUCGGGCCUCACGCCAUCGGAUGUGCCCAGAUGGGAUUAGCUAGUAGGUGGGGUAACGGCUCACCUAGGCGACGAUCCCUAGCUGGUCUGAGAGGAUGACCAGCCACACUGGAACUGAGACACGGCCCAGACUCCUACGGGAGGCAGCAGUGGGGAAUAUUGCACAAUGGGCGCCAGCCUGAUGCAUCCAUGCCGUGUGUAUGAAGAAGGCCUUCGGGUUGUAAACUACUUUCAUCGCGCAGGAAGACCGU
This 451-nucleotide ribosomal RNA is filed under the name uncultured Enterobacterales bacterium. RNAcentral's name for it is "bacterial SSU rRNA". It matches the Rfam family "Bacterial small subunit ribosomal RNA", at positions 8 to 455 of the family's 1533-position model. The record is from RNAcentral. Lineage: Bacteria; Pseudomonadati; Pseudomonadota; Gammaproteobacteria; Enterobacterales.